AACGAACGCUGGCGGCAUGCCUAACACAUGCAAGUCGAACGAGACCUUCGGGUCUAGUGGCGCACGGGUGCGUAACGCGUGGGAAUCUACCCUUGGGUUCGGAAUAACUCAGAGAAAUUUGAGCUAAUACCGGAUGAUGUCGCAAGACCAAAGAUUUAUCGCCCAAGGAUGAGCCCGCGUAGGAUUAGCUUGUUGGUGAGGUAAAAGCUCACCAAGGCGACGAUCCUUAGCUGGUCUGAGAGGAUGAUCAGCCACACUGGGACUGAGACACGGCCCAGACUCCUACGGGAGGCAGUAGUGGGGAAUAUUGGACAAUGGGCGAAAGCCUGAUCCAGCAAUGCCGCGUGAGUGAUGAAGGCCUUAGGGUUGUAAAGCUCUUUACCCGGGUAUGAUAAUGACAGUACCGGGAGAAUAAG
RNAcentral lists this ribosomal RNA (416 nucleotides) under uncultured bacterium. Its description in RNAcentral is "bacterial SSU rRNA". It matches the Rfam family "Bacterial small subunit ribosomal RNA", at positions 29 to 490 of the family's 1533-position model. The record is from RNAcentral.